UUAUAGCAACACCUCAAAAAUAUUUAGUGAGGAGAAUUCUGAUGAAAUUAUUAAACGCUUGGGAGAUGUCAGAUUAAAUAUUCUUGUCCUUGGAGGAAGCUCUGGAUUUAUUCAGCUUUAUGCUUAUGGGAUGUUCAAAAUUGCUCGAGUCACAGGGAUUGCUGGCACUUGUCUUGCAUUGUGUCUAUCAAGUGAUUUGAAAUCAUUAUCAGUGGUCACAGAGGUUUCCACUGGUG
Long non-coding RNA from Dipodomys spectabilis (banner-tailed kangaroo rat), 236 nucleotides. RefSeq lists it as uncharacterized. Lineage: Eukaryota; Metazoa; Chordata; Mammalia; Rodentia; Heteromyidae. The record is from RefSeq and is a predicted model, not a curated record. The transcript has 4 exons.